This 1838-nucleotide long non-coding RNA is filed under the name Cicer arietinum (chickpea). Its description in RNAcentral is "long non-coding RNA (CARI_LNC002422)". Lineage: Eukaryota; Viridiplantae; Streptophyta; Magnoliopsida; Fabales; Fabaceae. The record is from RNAcentral.
UUCUUUUUCCUCUUCUCCACCUUCUCUCAAAUACUCAAAAACCAUAAUCAUUCCUCCAUUGAUUGAGCUCCAAUAAAGCGUCAAAACCAAAAAGCUUCAACCACAAAAGUGCUUUACUGCUAAAGGGAAAUCCAUUUUAACUAAUAAACUCAAGGUGAAAAAUCAUUUUAUCUCCCUCUCUUUCUUUACAUGCGGAUUAUUGGUUUGACCCUUCUUGUUUGUUGUUUUUGGUUUUGUUGAUGCUUGUAUUAAUGAAAAAUAAAUCCUUUCGCUCCUCUUUUCCUCUCAAACUCGCGAGCUCAACCAAUAGAGGGAGAUGAUUUUUGUUUGUGUGCUUUUGGUAAUAUGAAAUUGAUGUUGUGUGUUUACUUGAAAAACUAGAAGAGAAACAAAUUGGCUCAUAGUUUGUUUGAUCCACCAAUAACUCCAUAUUUCCUUUCUUUUGAAUAAACUGGAAGUGUCAAGUCGAUACAUGUGCUAAACUGUGCUAUCUGCAAUGAGCAUUUUAUGUAUGAACUUGAAUGUUGAAAGUGUAAGUAAUAAGAUGUAUCUGAGAUGCUCUUUGUCAGUGUAGAGUGCUUAGUGAGGAAGAUGUGUAUUAAUUAGGAUGUGUGAAGUAUGUCUGGUGUACUACAUGAUUGUUUGGUGUAUAUGAUAUUAUGAUGCAAUGCCUAUUAUAAUACUGGUAUAAGAGAAUCAAUUAGGGUGGCAUGUCAUACAACUUGGCCCUUCUAUUUCGUAUGCAGAUUAUUGAUCUUGACAGAGGAUUGGUUUAAAUGGUGGAACAAAAUAGGUGAAAUGUGAAUUGAAUUUUAAAGGAUGACUAGAUACAUUUCAAUUAGAAACAAGAUAGAGAAGUUUGUCUUAACAAAUUGAUUUGUUCUACAACCUAAUAAUAUUUAAUAUAUUUUGAAAGGAAUUAAACUAUUUCAAAGAGUUAGUACUUUGAAAUUAGAAAAAUAUUUAUUGAUAUUUUUGUGUGUGAUUAUGAGGUAAAUACUUCGAUUAAGUAUUUAAUCUUUAAAAAUAUAGUGAAUCAAACUUGUAGUUAUUGAGAAAAAAAAUUGUGGUUGUGUGAAAAAUUUUAAGAAAAAUAAUUUAAAAUGUUUCGAAUAAUUGUUAGUGAAUUCUCAGAAAAAUUGAAGGAUGUUUAUGUUGAGACAAACUCUAUAUUUAAAGUUUUGAUGAAAAUAAACAAAGGUUAAUUAAGAUAGUUAAUUAUGAUUCUAAAAUGUUAUGUUAAUUUAACUUGUGCUUUUGAGUGAAUUUAAUUAAAGAACAGAAUCAAGCAAAGCAAAGAAAAACAGCUCAAAACUGAAACAAGAUCAUUCUAGACAAAACGGAGAACGAUCUCCAGAUUCAAGAUUGAUUGUCACAGCAUCUUGACCAAUCAAUAUCCACCAUUUUAACAAAGUCUUUGCUUAUGAAUUUUAUACCAAUAUCAUCAGUACAUGACAAGGAACAAAUAUGAUUCAUCUCACUACGAGAAGGUUCUCGAAUCAUUAAAAUAAAAGGACUCGAAACACACCAGUUGAAAAAGUUUGAAACCACUUAAAUCAAAAUAUCAAGAAAGUUUGAUCAACCUUAAUAUAUGUUAAGACAUUACAAAGACAUCCAGAAAGAUCAAAACAGGAACUCCAAAUUGAUCAUCAAAUCUCCAGAAAGAUCCAAUUGAUAGAUCAAGAUUGAUAAUCAAUCUUCGUUUUCUGCAGAAUUAGAGCAGUGCUCUGUUUACUUCUGCAAUGGCUUAUAAUAUUUCUCCAAACUAUUUUGGCUAGAUUCAAGGCUCCAGAUCGAAGUUGUAGCAUCAAAGAUUAAGUGAGAAGCUUCAAAUGCCC